RNAcentral lists this unclassified non-coding RNA (314 nucleotides) under Hevea brasiliensis (rubber tree). Lineage: Eukaryota; Viridiplantae; Streptophyta; Magnoliopsida; Malpighiales; Euphorbiaceae. The record is from RNAcentral.
GGCAUGUUAUUCCUUUUGUGUUAUUUUUCUCUAUCUUUUUAUGAAAGAUGUUCCCUAUUUCAUAGAAAUAUUUUAGCUACACUUUUGGAAAACUGCAUUUCAUUUUCUGAAGCUAUUCGUUGUAUAUGUGCAUAUUGAUAUAUUCUGUUUCUUUACGUGUGCUGAGUGAUCCAAUUAAUUUUCAGUGGUUGCUCAAGUGAAUCAUUGAGGUUUCUGAUGCAUAGUGAUGGGAUAGAAUUAGUGGAUCUUCAUGAUAUUGUAUUGUGCCUUUUAUGAGUGUGGACAUUAAGGUUAAGUUAUAUAUAUAUAUAUAU